This is a long non-coding RNA of Passer montanus (Eurasian tree sparrow), 545 nucleotides long. RefSeq lists it as uncharacterized. The transcript has 2 exons. The record is from RefSeq and is a predicted model, not a curated record. Lineage: Eukaryota; Metazoa; Chordata; Aves; Passeriformes; Passeridae.
CGGAGGGGAGGGAAGAUGGCGGCCGCGUGCUCUUUGCUCCGCGGAAUAAAACUCCGCCGCUUUUCCUCGGGAGUAAAACUCUGCCGUUUGCCCCCCACGCCCGCCCUGUGAAAUACAAAGCUGUGUUUCCUGUCAGCUUGAGAAAGGAAGAUGAACAUCAACUCUAUAAAGGAUUGAUGGUUUCCACCAAGGGAAGCUGGACAUCACUCUUAUGAGAUUUGCAAUUAAAAGGUGGACCCAUCUGGAAUCUGGACCUCACCAGCCAGGAGACUUCUUUCUUCCUUCAGAAGCUGGACCCCCUCACCAUCUGGGGAUUCUCCUGUCUGAGAUACAUCCUGAGAAAAAUUAAAUCACAAUAGUGUAUAGCAUUGUGACGUAAAAAUUGGGAAGAGAAACUGCUGGAAAAGCUUAUGAAAACCCCUAUAAAUAUCUGUAAGCCCCAACUAUCGGCGUGCAGUUGGAGGGAAAAUUUCCCCCGCUGUACCCAGCGCUGAGUCGCUCACCCUUUACCAAAUUAAUUAAUAAAUUGAUUGCUGCUUGGCCUA